ACGAGCAUCGCUCGCGCCGCUUAUAUAUGGUCAUAAUAUGGUUGACUGUCUCUACCCGACACCGUAAAUGUCGGACUAUAAGCAAAAAGGACAGUUGU
Molecule: non-coding RNA, 98 nt
Filed under: Enterococcus canis
Lineage: Bacteria; Bacillati; Bacillota; Bacilli; Lactobacillales; Enterococcaceae
Description: Guanine sequence
Rfam family: Purine riboswitch aptamer
About the family: Riboswitches are metabolite binding domains within certain messenger RNAs that serve as precision sensors for their corresponding targets.
Source: Rfam by way of RNAcentral